UAGGGAAUCUUCCGCAAUGGACGCAAGUCUGACGGAGCAACGCCGCGUGAGUGAAGAAGGAUUUCGGUUCGUAAAACUCUGUUGUUAAGGAAGAACGAGUGUGAGAAUGGAAAGUUCAUGCUGUGACGGUACUUAACCAGAAAGGGACGGCUAACUACGUGCCAGCAGCCGCGGUAAUACGUAGGUCCCGAGCGUUGUCCGGAUUUAUUGGGCGUAAAGCGAGCGCAGGCGGUUAGAAAAGUCUGAAGUGAAAGGCAGUGGCUCAACCAUUGUAGGCUUUGGAAACUGUUUAACUUGAGUGCAGAAGGGGAGAGUGGAAUUCCAUGUGUAGCGGUGAAAUGCGUAGAUAUAUGGAGGAACACCGGUGGCGAAAGCGGCUCUCUGGUCUGUAACUGACGCUGAGGCUCGAAAGCGUGGGGAGCGAACAGG
This 429-nucleotide ribosomal RNA is filed under the name Bacteroidota bacterium. RNAcentral's name for it is "Bacteroidetes bacterium partial 16S ribosomal RNA". It matches the Rfam family "Bacterial small subunit ribosomal RNA", at positions 355 to 776 of the family's 1533-position model. Lineage: Bacteria; Pseudomonadati; Bacteroidota. The record is from RNAcentral.